GCAGAAGGAUUGUUUAGAACAUUGGAAAUGUUGGAGGAUCAUUUGGGGGGGUCAAGGUAUUUAUGUGGGGAUGUUUUGACACUUGCAGAUGUAUGCUUGUUCACUACUUUGAUUCGGUUUGAUGUCGUCUACAAUGUGCUCUUCAAAUGCACCAAAAAGAAGCUCAUUGAAUUUCCUAACCUCCAUGGAUAUCUCAGAGACAUUUAUCAGGUACUAAAAUCUCUUUCUCGCAUAUGUUCAAUAGAACCUCUUCAAAUGCACCAAAAAGAAGAUCAUUGAAUUUCCUAACCUCCAUGGAUAUCUCAGAGACAUUUAUCAGGUAUUAAAAUCUCUUUCUCGCAUAUGUUCAAUAGAAAAAAAUGCCCUUUGAACAUAGUGUCUCGAUCGAGGACAACAGGGUGCACAAGGUAUCGCCGUUUACGCAGGGUCCGGGAAAAGGGUCACACCUUAAGGGGGUGUGAUGUAGAUAUCCUAACCUAAUGCAAGAAUUAGCAGUUGCUUCUACUCAGAUCCUUGACCUAUGGAUCACACAGAGACAACUUUACCGUUGAUCCAAGGCUCUCCUUCUAAUAUAACUAAUUUAAGCAUUUAUGUUAAUAACGCUUCAGGAUAUUGUUGUGGUAAAUCGUCAGUUAGUCUGGCAGCAAAGGGUGUCGCCUAGCAUUCGUUGGUAAAAAUCAUGGUAGAACACGGUUCAAAUUCUCGUCGAGACAAAACACAAAAGGUGAUUUAUCCCAUCUGCCUAAGCUUGGUGGAUAGUUGUUAGUCAAUACAUAUAAUGGUGGGAAGUAGUAGGUAAUCGGUGGAAUAUUCGAGAUGU
This 820-nucleotide long non-coding RNA is filed under the name Nicotiana benthamiana. Its description in RNAcentral is "long non-coding RNA (NBEN_LNC028941)". Lineage: Eukaryota; Viridiplantae; Streptophyta; Magnoliopsida; Solanales; Solanaceae. The record is from RNAcentral.